UCUUCUUCAUAACUUUACAGUUCGACGCUCGCAAUAUUUGAGCCAUGAGCCAUGAAAACUUCACGUUGCCUUCGGGUCAAGAUAAAUGCCAUCGAAAAACGAAAAACAGAAAUGAAAACGAAGCAUCAUCCGGUCGGUGGAGCUGCUAUGUUGGAUUCGUUUCCCUGUACAUGCACCUGUACAUAUCUGCAUUUUCCUCUUCGCUUCUCCGUACGUACAUGGCCUGGCUUUGGCUCCAAACAAAAAAGUUCUCAUCAUAAAUCAAAUAAAAUACAACACCAGCUGGCAACGGGACGGGACGCUACGAAGUUCAGGGUCAACGCAUUUUUAUUGAGACCUUUGGCGGUAAACUCCAAUGGAUGAAUUAACUAAUUUUGUUUCUUUAUUUUUUGUUAUCUUUUGUUUCAUUAUUCUAUUGGACGGCAGAUCCCUCCAUAUAGUAACCAGCUAGAGAAGCUGUCAUAUCUUGAUCUAUAGUACUGGAUGCUUGAUAAGAUUGAGUCCAUCAUUAUGAAAUACGAUAUUUUUCUUUUUUUAAACUUUGAAUGUCAAUCAAAAGUUCUUAGAACGAAGGAAUUUUGUAUCGAGUUUCGAUAUCUGAUAUUUUGUAAGAAAUUUAACGAUGAAGCACGUGUAUUUUAUGUUUUUUCCACCGAAUAUUCAUUUUCAGUGUUCGAAAUAAAGUUUAAAUAUAACCAA
Molecule: unclassified non-coding RNA, 699 nt
Filed under: Drosophila ananassae
Lineage: Eukaryota; Metazoa; Arthropoda; Insecta; Diptera; Drosophilidae
Description: rhino
Source: RNAcentral